UACGUAGGUGGCAAGCGUUAUCCGGAAUUAUUGGGCGUAAAGCGCGCGCAGGCGGUUUCUUAAGUCUGAUGUGAAAGCCCACGGCUCAACCGUGGAGGGUCAUUGGAAACUGGGGAACUUGAGUGCAGAAGAGAAAAGCGGAAUUCCACGUGUAGCGGUGAAAUGCGUAGAGAUGUGGAGGAACACCAGUGGCGAAGGCGGCUCUCUGGGACGGUACUGACGCUGAGACGCGAAAGCGUGGGGAGCGAACAGG
This 253-nucleotide ribosomal RNA is filed under the name uncultured bacterium. RNAcentral's name for it is "partial 16S ribosomal RNA". It matches the Rfam family "Bacterial small subunit ribosomal RNA", at positions 524 to 776 of the family's 1533-position model. The record is from RNAcentral.